AGAGUUUGAUCAUGGCUCAGGACGAACGCUGGCGGCACGCUUAACACAUGCAAGUCGAACGAGAGAAGAGGAGCUUGCUUUUCUGAUCUAGUGGCGGACGGGUGAGUAACACGUGAGCAAUCUGCCUUUCAGAGGGGGAUACCGAUUGGAAACGAUCGUUAAUACCGCAUAACAUAAUUGAACCGCAUGAUUUGAUUAUCAAAGAUUUAUCGCUGAAAGAUGAGCUCGCGUCUGAUUAGCUAGUUGGUAAGGUAACGGCUUACCAAGGCGACGAUCAGUAGCCGGACUGAGAGGUUGAUCGGCCACAUUGGGACUGAGACACGGCCCAGACUCCUACGGGAGGCAGCAGUGGGGAAUAUUGCACAAUGGAGGAAACUCUGAUGCAGCGAUGCCGCGUGAGGGAAGAAGGUUUUAGGAUUGUAAACCUCUGUCUUCAGGGACGAAAAAAGACGGUACCUGAGGAGGAAGCUCCGGCUAACUACGUGCCAGCAGCCGCGGUAAUACGUAGGGAGCGAGCGUUGUCCGGAAUUACUGGGUGUAAAGGGAGCGUAGGCGGGAUCGCAAGUCAGAUGUGAAAACUAUGGGCUUAACCCAUAAACUGCAUUUGAAACUGUGGUUCUUGAGUGAAGUAGAGGUAAGCGGAAUUCCUAGUGUAGCGGUGAAAUGCGUAGAUAUUAGGAGGAACAUCAGUGGCGAAGGCGGCUUACUGGGCUUUAACUGACGCUGAGGCUCGAAAGCGUGGGGAGCAAACAGGAUUAGAUACCCUGGUAGUCCACGCCGUAAACGAUGAUCACUAGGUGUGGGGGGACUGACCCCUUCCGUGCCGCAGCAAACGCAAUAAGUAAUCCACCUGGGGAGUACGACCGCAAGGUUGAAACUCAAAGGAAUUGACGGGGGCCCGCACAAGCAGUGGAGUAUGUGGAUUAAUUCGAAGCAACGCGAAGAACCUUACCAGGUCUUGACAUCGUAUGCAUAGCUCAGAGAUGAGUGAAAUCUCUUCGGAGACAUAUAGACAGGUGGUGCAUGGUUGUCGUCAGCUCGUGUCGUGAGAUGUUGGGUUAAGUCCCGCAACGAGCGCAACCCUUACUGUUAGUUGCUACGCAAGAGCACUCUAGCAGGACUGCCGUUGACAAAACGGAGGAAGGUGGGGAUGACGUCAAAUCAUCAUGCCCCUUAUGACCUGGGCCUCACACGUACUACAAUGGCUGUCAACAGAGGGAAGCAAAGCCGCGAGGUGGAGCGAACCCCUAAAAGCAGUCUUAGUUCGGAUUGUAGGCUGCAACCCGCCUACAUGAAGUCGGAAUUGCUAGUAAUCGCAGAUCAGCAUGCUGCGGUGAAUACGUUCCCGGGCCUUGUACACACCGCCCGUCACGCCAUGGGAGUCGGUAACACCCGAAGCCUGUAGUCUAACCGCAAGGAGGACGCAGUCGAAGGUGGGAUUGAUGACUGGGGUGAAGUCGUAACAAGGUA
Molecule: ribosomal RNA, 1470 nt
Filed under: metagenome
Description: bacterial SSU rRNA
Rfam family: Bacterial small subunit ribosomal RNA
Source: RNAcentral